RNAcentral lists this ribosomal RNA (254 nucleotides) under uncultured bacterium. Its description in RNAcentral is "partial 16S ribosomal RNA". It matches the Rfam family "Bacterial small subunit ribosomal RNA", at positions 524 to 776 of the family's 1533-position model. The record is from RNAcentral.
UACGGGGGGAGCAAGCGUUGUUCGGAUUUACUGGGCGUAAAGGGCGCGUAGGCGGCCACUGCAAGUCACUUGUGAAAUCUCCGGGCUUAACCCGGAGCGGCCAAGUGAUACUGUAGUGCUAGAGUGCGGAAGGGGCUACUGGAAUUCUCGGUGUAGCGGUGAAAUGCGUAGAUAUCGAGAGGAACACCUGCGGCGAAGGCGGGUAGCUGGGCCGACACUGACGCUGAGGCGCGAAAGCCAGGGGAGCGAACGGG